This 72-nucleotide transfer RNA is filed under the name Crystallias matsushimae. RNAcentral's name for it is "tRNA-Thr". It matches the Rfam family "tRNA". Rfam says of the family: Transfer RNA (tRNA) molecules are approximately 80 nucleotides in length. Lineage: Eukaryota; Metazoa; Chordata; Actinopteri; Perciformes; Liparidae. The record is from RNAcentral.
UGCAGUAGUAGCUCAGCCUUAGAGCUCCGGUCUUGUAAGCCGAACGUCGAAGGUUAAAAUCCCUCCUUUUGC